UACGUAGGGUGCGAGCGUUGUCCGGAAUUAUUGGGCGUAAAGAGCUCGUAGGCGGUCUGUCGCGUCGAUCGUGAAAACUUGGGGCUUAACCCUGAGCUUGCGGUCGAUGCGGGCAUGACUGGAGUUCGGCAGGGGAGACUGGAAUUCCUGGUGUAGCGGUGAAAUGCGCAGAUAUCAGGAGGAACACCGGUGGCGAAGGCGGGUCUCUGGGCCGAUACUGACGCUGAGGAGCGAAAGCGUGGGGAGCGAACAGG
This 254-nucleotide ribosomal RNA is filed under the name uncultured bacterium. RNAcentral's name for it is "partial 16S ribosomal RNA". It matches the Rfam family "Bacterial small subunit ribosomal RNA", at positions 524 to 776 of the family's 1533-position model. The record is from RNAcentral.